GCUAGUAAUGGCAGGUCAGCAUACUGCCGUGAAUACGUUCCCGGGCCUUGUACACACCGCCCGUCACACCAUGAGAGUUGGAAAUACCCGAAGCCUGUGAGCUAACUUAAAGAGGCAGCAGUCGAAGGUAGAGCCAAUGAUUGGGGUGAAGUCGUAACAAGGUACC
Molecule: ribosomal RNA, 166 nt
Filed under: uncultured bacterium
Lineage: Bacteria
Description: partial 16S ribosomal RNA
Rfam family: Bacterial small subunit ribosomal RNA
Source: RNAcentral